This 651-nucleotide ribosomal RNA is filed under the name uncultured archaeon. RNAcentral describes it as "bacterial SSU rRNA". It matches the Rfam family "Archaeal small subunit ribosomal RNA", at positions 151 to 805 of the family's 1478-position model. The record is from RNAcentral.
ACCCCAUAGGUCUAGCAUGCUGGAAUGCUACUAGGCCGAAAACUCCGGUGCCUUAGGAUUGGUCUGCGGUCUAUCAGGCAGUAGUGGGUGUAAUGGACCCACUAGCCCGUGACGGAUAUGGGCCUUGAGAGAGGGAGCCCAGAGAUGGACUCUGAGACAUGAGUCCAGGCCCUACGGGGCGCAGCAGUCGCGAAAACUUCGCAAUGGGGGAAACCCCGACGAGGGAAUUCCAAGUGCCAGCACUUUGUGUUGGCUGUUCUUCUGUCUAAAAAACAGGAGAAGUAAGGGGCGGGUAAGACGGGUGCCAGCCGCCGCGGUAAUACCCGCGCCCCAAGUGGUGGUCGAUAUUAUUGAGCCUAAAACGUCCGUAGCCGGUCUUCUAAAUCCUUGGGUAAAUCGGGCAGCUCAACUGUCCGAAUUCCGGGGAGACUGGGAGACUUGGGACCGGGAGAGGUCAGAGGUACUUCUGGGGUAGGGGUAAAAUCCUGUAAUCCUGGAAGGACCACCGGUGGCGAAGGCGUCUGACUAGAACGGAUCCGACGGUGAGGGACGAAGCCCUGGGGCGCAAACGGGAUUAGAUACCCCGGUAGUCCAGGGUGUAAACGAUGUGGACUUGGUGUUGGGAUGGCUCCGAGCUGCCCCAGUGCCGAA